AUAUUUAUUUGUUAAUUGUGUAGCGCUUAAUUUGUCUCGUGUAAACCUUAAUUUUUGUCACUACAACAAAAACGGUCUAUAGCGACGCUUUUAAAUAUAGGUAUAUGUCAAAAAAGUACUGCUAGCUAAAAUUACCGUCACUUUUAAAAAGUGUUGCUAUAUGUGGGGUCGCUAGGUAUAUAGUGACAAUUAAAGAGUGUCGCUAUAACCUAAAAGAGUGCUGCUAAUUUACCAACAUUUAUUUAAGCAUUUAGCAACCGUCGAAACUCUAUCUCGUUGGCUGCGGUGGCGGAGGAGGACGACAGGAAAGGCUCUUCGUCUAGAAUUUCAGUGGAUUGAGUAAAGAGAGAAGAAAAGAUGGUAAUUGAUUUUUCUUUUUCUUUUUUUUUCUAUUUGUAAUCAGGCCAAAUAGACUGGGUGUGGUGGGUUGAGUAGAGUAAUCUUUUAUUUUUGGUUGGAUUGGGUUUUUAUAUUUAGGCAUUAGUAGAUAUAUUUUUAAGUUUUAGCAUAAAUGAGACACUUACUCAAAAGUGUCCCAAACAUAUGUUCCUAUAACCUAAUUCUAUUGUAGUGUGUGUUUCUAAUUGGCAUUAAUCAAAAUUACCAAAUCGUA
Molecule: long non-coding RNA, 613 nt
Filed under: Ananas comosus (pineapple)
Lineage: Eukaryota; Viridiplantae; Streptophyta; Magnoliopsida; Poales; Bromeliaceae
Description: long non-coding RNA (ACOM_LNC037769)
Source: RNAcentral